This 448-nucleotide ribosomal RNA is filed under the name uncultured bacterium. RNAcentral describes it as "bacterial SSU rRNA". It matches the Rfam family "Bacterial small subunit ribosomal RNA", at positions 329 to 793 of the family's 1533-position model. The record is from RNAcentral.
GUCCAGACUCCUACGGGAGGCAGCAGUGGGGAAUAUUGCACAAUGGGGGAAACCCUGAUGCAGCGACGCCGCGUGAGUGAAGAAGUAUUUCGGUAUGUAAAGCUCUAUCAGCAGGGAAGAAAAUGACGGUACCUGACUAAGAAGCCCCGGCUAACUACGUGCCAGCAGCCGCGGUAAUACGUAGGGGGCAAGCGUUAUCCGGAUUUACUGGGUGUAAAGGGAGCGUAGACGGCAUGGCAAGUCAGAUGUGAAAGCCCGGGGCUCAACCCCGGGACUGCAUUUGAAACUGUCAGGCUGGAGUGCAGGAGAGGUAAGUGGAAUUCCUAGUGUAGCGGUGAAAUGCGUAGAUAUUAGGAGGAACACCAGUGGCGAAGGCGGCUUACUGGACUGUAACUGACGUUGAGGCUCGAAAGCGUGGGGAGCAAACAGGAUUAGAUACCCGUGUAAA